CUCAGGAUGAACGCUGGCGGCGUGCUUAACACAUGCAAGUCGAACGAAGAAGAGUUGAAUGAGAGCUUCGGCAGGAUUUCUUCUCAUCUUAGUGGCGACGGGUGAGUAACGUGUGGGCAACCUGCCCUAUACUGGGGAAUAAUCACUGGAAACGGUGACUAAUACCGCAUGUCAUCACCGGAGGGCAUCCUCUGGUAGAAAAAAGGAGUAAUUCGGUAUAGGAUGGGCCCGCAUCUGAUUAGCUAGUUGGUGAGAUAACAGCCCACCAAGGCGACGAUCAGUAGCCGACCUGAGAGGGUGAUCGGCCACAUUGGGACUGAGACACGGCCCAAACUCCUACGGGAGGCAGCAGUGGGGAAUAUUGCACAAUGGGGGAAACCCUGAUGCAGCAACGCCGCGUGAAGGAUGAAGGUUUUCGGAUCGUAAACUUCUAUCAACAGGGAAGAAACAAAUGACGGUACCUGAAUAAGAAGCCCCGGCUAACUACGUG
RNAcentral lists this ribosomal RNA (490 nucleotides) under uncultured bacterium. RNAcentral describes it as "bacterial SSU rRNA". It matches the Rfam family "Bacterial small subunit ribosomal RNA", at positions 23 to 507 of the family's 1533-position model. The record is from RNAcentral.